GUAGGUCAUAAAUACGUAUAUAAAUUGCAUGACUGCUACGGAGCAUCUACAAGUAAGGUCAGGUGGAAGUGUGUUCUUAGAGAAUGCAUGCAUCUCAAAGAUGAUAAAGAUCGGUAGCUAUCUGCCCUCAGAUGACAUGGAUGCUGCACCAGCAUGGGUACUAAACAGAGUCAAAGCGUAUUUGAAAAAUGAUAUGGUAUACUUUCCAAUAAACAUGGAGGACGUUCACUGGUACCUAUGUGUUAUAAAUGCCAUAAAAAAAAUGUGUCCAGGUGCUCGACUCGCUAGGCCCAUACAUGAGCCGCAAGGACCUCACUGAUACGGUCUGCACUUCAUCCUACUGCCCCAUCUUUUCUAAGAAGCUUUUUUUUCUUAUUUCUCACUUGUGAUGCUUAUACUUUUUCCAUUUUUUGGUACACCAGCUAGAAGGACUGGAGGAUUUAUUCAAAUAUGCAUCCAAGCACAUGGAAUUAAAAUCCGAUAAGUGGACUGAUCUAGAUGUUACAACAUG
Molecule: long non-coding RNA, 511 nt
Organism: Triticum dicoccoides
Lineage: Eukaryota; Viridiplantae; Streptophyta; Magnoliopsida; Poales; Poaceae
Exons: 2
Source: RefSeq, a predicted model, not a curated record